GAUGAACGCUAGCGGCAGGCCUAACACAUGCAAGUCGAGGGAGAAGCCCUUUCGGGGGCAGAAACCGGCGCACGGGUGCGUAACGCGUAUGCAACCUACCUUUCACAGGGGGAUAGCCCGAAGAAAUUUGGAUUAAUACCCCAUAAUAUUAUUGGAUGGCAUCAUUUGAUAAUUAAAACUGCGGUGGUGAAAGAUGGGCAUGCGUCCUAUUAGCUAGUUGGGGUGGUAACGGCACCCCAAGGCUACGAUAGGUAGGGGUCCUGAGAGGGAGAUCCCCCACACUGGUACUGAGACAGGGACCAGACUCCUACGGGAGGCAGCAGUGAGGAAUAUUGGUCAAUGGUCGGAAGACUGAACCAGCCAUGCCGCGUGCAGGAAGAAUGCCUUAUGGGUUGUAAACUGCUUUUAUUUGGGAAGAAUAAGGCGUACGUGUACGUUGAUGACGGUACCAUAUGAAUAAGCAUCGGCUAACUCCGUG
Molecule: ribosomal RNA, 478 nt
Filed under: uncultured bacterium
Lineage: Bacteria
Description: partial 16S ribosomal RNA
Rfam family: Bacterial small subunit ribosomal RNA
Source: RNAcentral